Anaerofustis stercorihominis DSM 17244 is the source of this 167-nucleotide non-coding RNA. It matches the Rfam family "6S / SsrS RNA". From Rfam's summary of the family: E. coli 6S RNA was the first non coding RNA to be sequenced, but its function was unknown until recently. It consists of 184 nucleotides that fold into an extended hairpin structure with a large single-stranded internal bulge. The record is from Rfam. NCBI's taxonomy places the organism in Bacteria, Bacillati, Bacillota, Clostridia, Eubacteriales, Eubacteriaceae.
UAUGACCUUAAAAGGACUGCUGUUAUUUUGAACCUACACUUUUAUACAGGGAUACCGAGUCUUUAUGUGGAUGUCACGCCUCUAUAAGUGGACGGCAGAAGCGGUAAGCAGGUAACCCACCUAUCUUUUUAGAUAGGAUCAAAAUUCUAGCACCUUUAAGGUCUUUU